CAGUAGCCGCGGUAAUACGAGGGGGGCAAGCGUUGUUCGGAUUUAUUGGGCGUAAAGGGUGCGUAGGCGGAUUCUUAAGUCAGAGGUGAAAUCCCAAGGCUCAACCUUGGGGCUGCGUUUGAUACUUGGUUGCUUGAGUGGGGAAGAGGGUCGUGGAAUUCCCAGUGUAGAGGUGAAAUUCGUAGAUAUUGGGAAGAACAUCAGUGGCGAAGGCGGCCAUCUGGGACAACACUGACGCUGAGGCACGAAAGCGUGGGGAGCAAACAGGAUUAGAUACCCCCGUAGUCCCUGUCUCUUAUAA
This 301-nucleotide ribosomal RNA is filed under the name uncultured bacterium. RNAcentral's name for it is "partial 16S ribosomal RNA". It matches the Rfam family "Bacterial small subunit ribosomal RNA", at positions 509 to 809 of the family's 1533-position model. The record is from RNAcentral.